This 433-nucleotide ribosomal RNA is filed under the name uncultured bacterium. RNAcentral describes it as "partial 16S ribosomal RNA". It matches the Rfam family "Bacterial small subunit ribosomal RNA", at positions 29 to 507 of the family's 1533-position model. The record is from RNAcentral.
AGCGAACGCUGGCGGCAGGCCUAACACAUGCAAGUCGAACGAACUCUUCGGAGUUAGUGGCGGACGGGUGAGUAACACGUGGGAACGUGCCUUUAGGUUCGGAAUAACUCAGGGAAACUUGUGCUAAUACCGAAUGUGCCCUUCGGGGGAAAGAUUUAUCGCCUUUAGAGCGGCCCGCGUCUGAUUAGCUAGUUGGUGAGGUAAAGGCUCACCAAGGCGACGAUCAGUAGCUGGUCUGAGAGGAUGAUCAGCCACAUUGAGACUGAGACACGGCCCAAACUCCUACGGGAGGCAGCAGUGGGGAAUCUUGCGCAAUGGGCGAAAGCCUGACGCUGCCAUGCCGCGUGAAUGAUGAAGGUCUUAGGAUUGUAAAAUUCUUUCACCGGGGACGAUAAUGACGGUACCCGGAGAAGAAGCCCCGGCUAACUUCGUG